CCCUCCCACACACAAUGUAUUUAAAGCCCAUAGGGAUAAACUUUGCUUGUUGUUGGUGUGCUUGUCAGUUAGUAACAUAAAAAUACCUGGUAUUGGAAAAUAUUGCAGUAGGUGAAACUUCAUGUUUUAAAAUGAGUUUUGGUUACUUUGUGGAUAGCUCAUUUAGAAUCAUAUCACAUGUGGUUCUUUAGUAAUUUAGAGAUUCCAUAAUAAUCUUGGGCACCUGUUCCAGUGCGUUUAAACUCCUACAAUAAAUAUUUGUUAAGUCCAUCGCCCAGUAUGGAGAAUGGGUGUCUGAAUAGGAGAGCAGAUGCUUUUCCUAACAUUUAAAAUGUGUGUGUUUCCAGUGUCGUGUGAUGUGUGACAGGAGUUCUCAGACUGGGAAGGCUUUAGGACGUUCACUUGGCUAUGCCUUCAUAGACUUCUCGGAACAUGAGCCCACCCUCAAAGUUCUAUGACACUUGAACAAUAACCCAAACAUAUUUGAGCCAGAGAUGAGACCUAUUAUGGAGUUUUCCUUGAAGAUAAGAGAAUGUUAAAAAUAAAGGAAAUGAGAGCACUGAAAAACCAGAAAAAGGUGAAGCACACGGUGGGCUUAGAAGGGGAUAAGAAAGCCCCCAAUAUCUCUGAUAAAAAUAAAAAGCCAAGGCAAGAUAAUGGUAACAGCAGAGAGAGAUGACUUGAGACAUUCACACACAGAGGAGUGGACAAGGAGGGCAAUUCACACACAGAGGAGUGGACAAGGAGGGCAAUUUCUGGUCAGGAUUCGUCACCAAACCAGGUGUGGAGGUGGAAGAACUGCCUAGUGGCAAGAAGCGCAAGAAGGUCCUUCCCCUUCCCUCACACAGAGGCCCUAAAAUCAGAAAAAGGGAUAAAGGAAAACCACAGCUACCAUAACCAACAAAAACCAAGAACCACCCCAGCAGAAAAGAAAAUGUUCAACAAAUGCUUCCAGUCAAACAGGCACCCAAGAAGAGAACUUUCAGAAACAAAGAGGAUGAUGUUGAACAGUACAAAAAGAGAAUUCUGAGAAAUCCCAAGUCGUCUAUUGUGAAAAAGAGCAAAUGGUUCAGUUAAAACUUCACUGAAGUAUUUUACCAUUACUAUUGCAGUAGAAAACCAAUUCAGUGUGGUCCUACAGUUCUACAUUCUCAACUCCAAACUGACUUUUUCAGACAUUGCAACAAGAAGAUAGAAAGUGCAUUAUUUUGUUAUUCUUCUAAUUGAUUUGCCACGUUAUUCUAUAAAAGUAGUAAAAAAGAAACCAACAGUUUCUUUUGCUCUUAUGAAAAUUAAGUUCAGCAAAGUGCCAUUUUUUUAGGAAUGAAAAAACAAAACAAACUUGUUUGAUGCAUGAAGUUUUUUUUUAUAAUUAACACACAAAAUGCUUUGCAAUUUUAAAACGCUGGGGCCUUACUAAUACGGCACUUUACUGCGAAUGCAUUGUUAAUUGUUGAGUAAUAUCCGUCCAUCUGUCCGUCCAUCCAUCUAAAAUAAGCUUUUGCAUGACAGAUACCCUUUGUAUGUAGUACACAUCAUAUCAUGGAAGGUUUGCAUUCUUUAUCAGCAUUGUCUUGGUAAUAAACCCUCUAGAUACAAUAGCAUUAUGCACAUUAUUGGUUACUGCAGGAGCAAAUUUGGACCUUAGUGAUAUUUAAAUUUUUUUUUAAAGGUUUGAGGUUCCUUAAGCCCUUUACGACUUUCACUGUCUUCAUGACACCUAUACUGAUCAGCCAAAGGUUUUGCACCAGGGUACAAUUUGUUAAUGUUGUUGUGGCAUAUUAACACCUCCCCCAUGUGAUUCCUUGGAUUACGGGCACAUUGUGUCAAUCCACAUCUUGUGACCAUUUAGGAUUUUAAAGUUGGAAGUUGCUCAAUAGUUUGUGCUGUUAUGACAUUUCAGGUAUUUUUUAAGAUUAUUUCUUGGAUAUUUUUGAGACUUCAGGUCUCUUGGGUGCACAACUGCUGGCCAGUUUUCAAGUCCCUUUGAAUAAAAACAGCUACAUGUUCACUACAAAAUUGUUUAAAUGGAUAAGAACUGUAUUAUUGUAAUAGCCAAUACUCACAUUUCAAAGGUUUCGACAUUUGGAUGUUGUAAGGUACCAGGGAGGGGGUUAAAAUCCUUCCCUGCUAAAAACCUUGUGAGAAUGCACA
This is a long non-coding RNA of Polyodon spathula (Mississippi paddlefish), 2154 nucleotides long. RefSeq lists it as uncharacterized. The record is from RefSeq and is a predicted model, not a curated record. The transcript is spliced from 5 exons. Lineage: Eukaryota; Metazoa; Chordata; Actinopteri; Acipenseriformes; Polyodontidae.